UAACCGUCAUAAACAACUUUUUCUAUGGA
This 29-nucleotide small RNA is filed under the name Bombyx mori (domestic silkworm). Its description in RNAcentral is "piRNA piR-bmo-2062266". Lineage: Eukaryota; Metazoa; Arthropoda; Insecta; Lepidoptera; Bombycidae. The record is from RNAcentral.